This 353-nucleotide long non-coding RNA is filed under the name Androctonus crassicauda. The record is from RNAcentral. Lineage: Eukaryota; Metazoa; Arthropoda; Arachnida; Scorpiones; Buthidae.
UUCUUUUGUCAGCUGCUUAGUAUCUAACACCCAGGUUCUACCGUCUCUCCAUCCUUUUGUUAUUAGUUCUUACUAGAAGCCUAGUGUCCUUCAGAGGCUGGGUUUAUUGAGAGACAGAGCCACUGAGCUGGCACUAAAAGAAGGUACUCCUUAAGAGAAAAUCUAAGUCAAGAGAGACAGCCGGUAACAGAUAGGCUGCCCCUCUGCUCACUUUUCUGUUUCACAGACACAAGGUCUUUUUGUCCCAAGAAAGCCUCCUGGCUUAGCUGUGUGACUAAAUGCUAUUUGCCCUCUUCAGUGGACCUCUAUUCUCAAGAUUCUCUUGUUUUCUCACCAUCCCAUUUGAGAUGCUU